ACAUAGGUCCCCAGAGAAUUUCAAUACGUCUGAUGUCAAGAACGGAAAGUGAGACAGCCAGGUGGAAGGGGGUCCCUGGAGAAUCUCAAACCAGCCUGCGCACUGGGAAUGCGCACUGGAGAGAAAACACAGAAGUUGGUGGUCUUUGCAGCAGCGAGGAGUGCGACUCCUCCUCUUCCUGUGUGGAACCUGGAAUUCAAACGGCUGGGGCCUCACUCACGACAAAGGGAAGUAACCACGCCCCUAAGAAGGCACACCUUUGUUGCAGUUAGUACACAAUUAAAGCAACUCUCCAAGUUUUACCUUAAAGUUCAAAAUUGCUAGGGGUUGAAACUACUAGAAAUGUCUUUACAUGCAAGCCUUUAAUAAUUAAGUAAGGUAUACUCCUGUGAUCAAGACUUUGAGCAUAUUUGUUUCUCUCUGCCUGGUUCCUCUAGAAAUUGGAAACUAUCAGAACACAGACAAACUCCAUUUCCCAAUCCCUUUGCAAUCUGCAUUGAACCAUGAAUCAAGUUCUUGAUAAAGGAGUGAAAAUGGAUGACAUUUAAGGCACAUCUGAAGAUGGGGAAACCACAGCACAGAAAAAGGCUGGGCCCUUGAAUCAAUAAAUGAGGGAGAACUACUCAAGAGAACAAAACCACCAGCAAUAUCCACCUGUAUUUGUCUUUUCAUAAUGUGUGACACAUGUGCUCAUGGAUUAUUGUCCAAAUCAAGUCAUGUGACCAAGCCUAACAUCAACUGGGUGAAGAGCUAUAUGUUCCUUUCUCAAGAGGCACUACAAGUGACAUGCCAAUGGGCAGAUGGAGUCUCAUUCUGUCACCCAGGCUAGAGUGCAGUGCCGCAAUCUCAGCUCACUGCAAGCUCUGACUCCCAGGUUCACGCCAUUCUCCUGCCUCAGCCUCCCAAGUAGCUGGGACUACAGGCACCCACCACCACACCUGGCUAAUUUUUUAUAUUUUUAGUAGAGAAGGGGUUUCGCCGGGAUAGCCAGGAUGGUCUUGAUCUCCUGACCUCAUGAUCUGCCCGUCUUGGCCUCCCAAAGUGCUGGGAUUACAGGUGUGAGCCACCAUGACUGGCCUAACGUAUUUUUAAAACCUGUAGAAUGUUUGUAUUACUUUUGUCAUAGUACAUAACAUUUAAAUGGAUUUCUUGUUUGUGUAUGUAUGUAUAUUCAUUCACUACACUGAUAGUUUUUCUGAAUAUUUCCUUCGGAUUUUAUUCCUUUCUCAUUCAACUAAAUAAGAACUUGCACCAUCUUUUUCUAGUGUAAAAAUUACAGUAUCUGAAGUGAAAUUACUAGAACAAAU
Molecule: long non-coding RNA, 1307 nt
Filed under: Pongo abelii (Sumatran orangutan)
Lineage: Eukaryota; Metazoa; Chordata; Mammalia; Primates; Hominidae
Description: lincRNA
Source: RNAcentral